This is a long non-coding RNA of Brienomyrus brachyistius, 751 nucleotides long. RefSeq lists it as uncharacterized. The record is from RefSeq and is a predicted model, not a curated record. NCBI's taxonomy places the organism in Eukaryota, Metazoa, Chordata, Actinopteri, Osteoglossiformes, Mormyridae. The transcript has 3 exons.
ACAGAACCGGUAGCCAGACGGUCGGUGCUUCAUAUGUCGGCUGGCGGUUUGCUGUUUAAAAGUGAAAACAUUAAGUUAAAAUUAGUGGGUUCUUUAAAAAAAUCAACAGAAUAGAUGAAAGGCUAUUUAAACUGUUUAAAGUAUAAAUUACUCUGUAAAUGAUUAUGAUGUCACAAAUGGGGGCACAGAGUCCUAUUAAACAAAACAUGAGAACUGUUACGCUUUAUGUUGGUUGAUCGCUGUCUUCCGAUCUUAUCUUCGCCCCAGUUUCUUUGCGGCACAGCCACAGGAAGUCUCCUGAGCUGAAGAGCAGAAAGAGAUUUCAUUAUCUUCCUUCAAGAGAAUGCGCAUGAUGGUGGAGAAGCUGGCGUAACUGUUUAAAUGAUGUUUAGUCAUUCGGGAUUUUGUUCCACUUGGAUCAGCAUUUGCCUCAUUGAUUUAUUGUUAUCGAAGGCGCAUGGAAAUGAACCUAACAAAUCUGAUGAACCAGGUACGUUGCUUUUGUAUUAUGGUCGUUGACAAAUUUGAUCAAAUGCACUCGCGGUUUCAUGUGCGUCUUUUCUGUUUUACCACGUGAUGUACAUUAUUUUCCCCCCUAAUACUCAGAUGUUAAGUAUGCGGUCAUCGGAACUGGGAUUGGACUGUUCUUUUCUUUAUGCUUUGUUGCCUUGAAGCUGUACAUGCUUAGAAAACACAUGCUAGACAAUGAACUGUCAGAGGCAGAAUCAGAUAAAAGACCAGCAUAUAUGAG